Molecule: ribosomal RNA, 563 nt
Filed under: uncultured archaeon
Lineage: Archaea
Description: bacterial SSU rRNA
Rfam family: Archaeal small subunit ribosomal RNA
Source: RNAcentral
GGGGUGCAGCAGGCGCGAAAACUUUGCAAUGCGGGAAACCGUGACAAGGGAACUCUGAGUGCCCGUUAAAUCGGGCUGUCCAUCGGUUUAAACAACCGGUGAAGAAAGGGCCGGGCAAGACCGGUGCCAGCCGCCGCGGUAAUACCGGCGGCUCGAGUGGUGGCCACUAUUACUGGGCUUAAAGCGUUCGUAGCUGGUUUGUUAAGUCUCUGGGGAAAUCUUCCGGCUCAACCGGAAGGCGUCUCAGGGAUACUGGCAGACUAGGGACCGGGAGAGGUGAGAGGUACUCCAGGGGUAGGAGUGAAAUCCUGUAAUCCUUGGGGGACCACCUGUGGCGAAGGCGUCUCACCAGAACGGCUCCGACAGUGAGGGACGAAAGCUGGGGGAGCAAACCGGAUUAGAUACCCGGGUAGUCCCAGCUGUAAACGAUGCGCGUUAGGUGUAUCGGUGACCACGAGUCACCGAGGUGCCGAAGAGAAAUCGUGAAACGUGCCGCCUGGGAAGUACGGUCGCAAGGCUGAAACUUAAAGGAAUUGGCGGGGGAGCACAAGGGCGAAUCGCGG